This is a non-coding RNA of Pelodiscus sinensis (Chinese soft-shelled turtle), 335 nucleotides long. The record is from RefSeq and is a predicted model, not a curated record. NCBI's taxonomy places the organism in Eukaryota, Metazoa, Chordata, Testudines, Trionychidae.
UAUACUCAUUCUCUGGUUUCUACCUGAAGAGAUUUGGCUCUCCUAAGUGGUUAUUCAAGCCUGCUUUUAUACAAAGAUUGCUUGAAGGCAUAAUAUUACUCAUGAGCUAUCCUGUCUGCCUCUGGGACCAUGCAAUCUUGUUCUGUACUGCUGAAGUAUAAGAGGAAAGGUCCUGAACCAUGAAGUGACUAGAAUCCAUCUAGGACUGGCAGCUGCAUGACCAACCCAGGAGCUGCAGGGAAACUGAAGCAGUGGACACACUGAUGAUGGCUGGAGAAUGGCAAAUUGAUGGUCCUAAAUCCUAGGUAUACACCCUCUGAAAACAAGAUAACAGA